Molecule: ribosomal RNA, 253 nt
Filed under: uncultured bacterium
Lineage: Bacteria
Description: partial 16S ribosomal RNA
Rfam family: Bacterial small subunit ribosomal RNA
Source: RNAcentral
UACGAAGGGUGCUAGCGUUGCUCGGAAUUACUGGGCGUAAAGGGAGCGUAGGCGGACAUUUAAGUCAGGGGUGAAAUCCCGAGGCUCAACCUCGGAACUGCCUUUGAUACUGGAUGUCUUGAGUGUGAGAGAGGUGAGUGGAACUCCGAGUGUAGAAGUGAAAUUCGUAGAUAUUCGGAAGAACACCAGUGGCGAAGGCGACUCACUGGCUCAUUACUGACGCUGAGGCUCGAAAGCGUGGGGAGCAAACAGG